Molecule: long non-coding RNA, 612 nt
Organism: Malania oleifera
Lineage: Eukaryota; Viridiplantae; Streptophyta; Magnoliopsida; Santalales; Ximeniaceae
Exons: 2
Source: RefSeq, a predicted model, not a curated record
UUCUCAUGGUAGUCUUCAGCAAAGGCUCAAAGCCCACCUCCGCAAGGCUGGAGGAGAUCCAGCGUCGUCCGAGAUUCAACUGAAGCGGCUACAGCGGCAGCCACAGCAGAGUUCUGGCGGAGUUGCGGAGGUAGUUCUGGCGGUGAGAUAGAGAGAGAGUUGAACGACAGCCAAGCUGGAGUCCGACAGAGUUACAGAGGGAGUUCUGACGGAGGGAUGGCCUUUGAGACAACUCCUUGUCAACAAUGCAUUUUUACAUGGACAGUUGACCGAAACAUUCUAUAUGAUGCAACCCGUGGGAUUCAAAGAUGCCUUGAAACCUGCUAAUCAUGUUUGCAUGUUAAAUAAUGUCAUCUAUGGAGCAGGCUGCUCGAGCCUGGUACUCGGACUAAAAAUGACAAUCAUGAAUCUUGGUUUUCAAAAUUUGAAAGUGGACUCCUCUUUGUUUGUAUAUCACCAAUAUUCUAUUUUGUGCUAUUUAUUGGUAUGUGUGGAUGAUCUAGUUAUCACUGGCAGUGACAUGAACUUUGUGUCUUAUAUCAUUGAACAAUUUCUGUAAUGAUCUCAAAAAUAUAUAUAUGAUGAAAGUAAUAAAAAUGAUCAUUAAGUUAA